This 180-nucleotide unclassified non-coding RNA is filed under the name plant metagenome. RNAcentral describes it as "partial contains small subunit ribosomal RNA and internal transcribed spacer 1". The stretch from base 1 to 46 matches the Rfam family "Eukaryotic small subunit ribosomal RNA", at positions 1786 to 1831 of the family's 1831-position model. The record is from RNAcentral.
AAGUCGUAACAAGGUUUCCGUAGGUGAACCUGCGGAAGGAUCAUUAAAGAGAGAGGGUCUCCAGGCCCGAGCCUCCCACCCUUUGCAAACCCCCCCCUUUUGCUUUGAUGGGUGAUCGCCCAUCGGAGGACCUGAAAACCUCGUUAUCCGUGGAGUCUGAGUGUGGUACAAUAGUUAAAA